ACGAAGGGUGCAAGCGUUACUCGGAAUUACUGGGCGUAAAGCGUGCGUAGGUGGUUGUUUAAGUCUGUCGUGAAAGCCCUGGGCUCAACCUGGGAAUUGCGAUGGAUACUGGGCGACUAGAGUGUGGUAGAGGAUAGUGGAAUUUCCGGUGUAGCAGUGAAAUGCGUAGAGAUCGGAAGGAACAUCUGUGGCGAAGGCGACUAUCUGGGCCAACACUGACACUGAGGCACGAAAGCGUGGGGAGCAAACAG
RNAcentral lists this ribosomal RNA (251 nucleotides) under uncultured prokaryote. Its description in RNAcentral is "partial 16S rRNA". It matches the Rfam family "Bacterial small subunit ribosomal RNA", at positions 525 to 775 of the family's 1533-position model. The record is from RNAcentral.